AACGCACGAGACCUGCGGACCUGCGGAAGGAUCAUUAAUGAGAAGCUGCCCCUCGUGGGUAGACCUCCCACCCUCUGUGAACUUACCUUUGUUGCUUUGGCAGGCCCGUCCUCUGGACCGCCGGCUUCGGCUGGCCCGUGCCUGCCAGAGGAUUCCAAACUCUGUCUGUCAGUGUUGUCUGAGUCUAUAUGAAAUCGUUAAAACUUUUAACAAUGGAUCUCUAGAUCGGAAGAGCACACG
This 240-nucleotide unclassified non-coding RNA is filed under the name soil metagenome. RNAcentral's name for it is "partial contains 5.8S ribosomal RNA, internal transcribed spacer 2, and large subunit ribosomal RNA". The record is from RNAcentral.